AUCUAAUCCUUGAGGUGGGUAUGAGCCUCUUUUGGCGGUCGGCAAGGAUGGGAAAGAUGACAUGAUUUCACGACUCAUAAAGAAAGUGAUGGAGCUGUAGCUUGAAUUCUUUUACUUCAAAUCCACAAUGCCAUGCCUUGCUCCAGUGAAGGACGGACUGCUGUUCUGUCUCCUAAAACCCACACAGCUCGCCUGGAGCUUCAAAUGUGAGAACACAUUCCAGCUGCAGGAUCAGAGGACUUUUCCUACAGCCCAUAAGUGCCUGCAGCUCUAUCGGAUUUGCAAAUCUACAAAAGAGAGCACAUCCUAUUGUUCCCGGUUUUGAGUUUUUUUAAUAGUAUGUCUUGUAAAAUGCUGGUUGCUGGUGGACAGGGGUGUUUUACAGAUAGGUGUGACUCAGGAGGGGAAAUGGGUGGGCAGAGACAGCCACAAGGAAUUCCACACAUGAAGGAAAUGCUCCCACUUGUGUUUUCUAUUUGUGUUUUAAAUUUGGGGAGCGACUCACAGGCACUCAGCAAAAGUAACUAAUUAUAUUAACCUUAUCAGUAGUGAGGUUUCCUGGUCUCUCAUCAGACACUCAGCUCACUGGCUGGUAUUUAAUUGGGAGCCUGGUGGCCAGUGAAAACAGUGUGGGAUGAGUCACACUUUAACAAGUUUUUAUAGUACAGCAACCUUGCUGUAUAAUAGCCAGACAUUAUUAAAAUUCAGAUAUGGUACACUGACUUGUUUGUUUUCCUUAUUCACAUGAAACAGAUGCUCAGGACUCAUUUUACUUACACACAGUAAAUGAGGGUCAGCUGUGUUGAGGGAAGUGAGUACUUUGUUCUGGAAGGAUAGAUGUUGUAGCAAUUGUCUUGCUCUGAUUGUAUUUGAAAAGAAUGAAUGUUGUUAGUACAAUUUGGUAUUCUUCCAAUGCCUAGUUGGAGUUCAAGGGAUAUAAAACUGGGCGCUUGAGGAGUGGGAUGGAAAAGGAUGGAGAAGGAAGGUCAAAUAUGGCUUUGAAGGGGAUCAGCAGAAGCCAGAGGCCGCAGUGGUGAACACUCCUUGUGAAUGGCCCUUUGCACCCACGGCUUGGUGAACCCAGCAUGGACCGUGGAGAGAGGACCUGCCUAAAAACCAGAGACGGGGUUUGCCUCUCCGCAUCACCACUGGCUUGCUGCAUCAAGAAUCUGCCUUUCAGCUUCUUCACCUGAAACAAGGUGAUUGGGAUAGCUGGUUUUAUUUAUUUAUUUUUGAGGCCAUUCUAGCACUUUGUAAAGUCCAAGGGGGUGUGGUAUUGUAAUUCUUGGAAUAAUACAAUGAACAUCAGAUGCUUUGAAGUUUUCCGUUCGGUGGAUUCUGGGAUUCUUUUCUGAAUGAGUGAUUACUAGCCAACAGGAAUCUCAUGGUUCAACCUCAAACUCAAAAGUUAUUUCGGGGAUGGAAAAUGGUAAGAUUGGGGAAAAUCCUUCCACCUUCACCCCUGUGAAUUAGGAGUCUUGUUAAUUAGUAUACAU
Molecule: long non-coding RNA, 1496 nt
Filed under: Homo sapiens (human)
Lineage: Eukaryota; Metazoa; Chordata; Mammalia; Primates; Hominidae
Description: HSALNT0353233
Source: RNAcentral